AUUGAACGCUGGCGGCAGGCCUAACACAUGCCAGUCGAGCGGAUGAAGGGAGCUUGCUCCUAGAUUCAGCGGCGGACGGGUGAGUAAUGCCUAGGAAUCUGCCUGGUAGUGGGGGAUAACGUCCGGAAACGGGCGCUAAUACCGCAUACGUCCUGAGGGAGAAAGUGGGGGAUCUUCGGACCUCACGCUAUCAGAUGAGCCUAGGUCGGAUUAGCUAGUUGGUGGGGUAAAGGCCUACCAAGGCGACGAUCCGUAACUGGUCUGAGAGGAUGAUCAGUCACACUGGAACUGAGACACGGUCCAGACUCCUACGGGAGGCAGCAGUGGGGAAUAUUGGACAAUGGGCGAAAGCCUGAUCCAGCCAUGCCGCGUGUGUGAAGAAGGUCUUCGGAUUGUAAAGCACUUUAAGUUGGGAGGAAGGGCAGUAAGUUAAUACCUUGCUGUUUUGACGUUACCAACAGAAUAAGCACCGGCUAACUUCGUG
Molecule: ribosomal RNA, 484 nt
Filed under: uncultured bacterium
Lineage: Bacteria
Description: partial 16S ribosomal RNA
Rfam family: Bacterial small subunit ribosomal RNA
Source: RNAcentral